AGCUUUGUGCAAUAGCAGUAGCAUAGCCAAUGAGGUUUAUCUGUGGUGUGAUUAUUGCUAAUUGAAAACUUUUUAGGGUAGAAAUAUCCCUGUGCAUAGCACAUAGGUGGGACCGAGAAAGUUUG
Molecule: small nuclear RNA, 125 nt
Filed under: Chinchilla lanigera (long-tailed chinchilla)
Lineage: Eukaryota; Metazoa; Chordata; Mammalia; Rodentia; Chinchillidae
Description: U4 spliceosomal RNA (ENSCLAG00000020231.1)
Rfam family: U4 spliceosomal RNA (bases 1-76)
About the family: U4 small nuclear RNA (U4 snRNA) is a component of the major U2-dependent spliceosome. The structure of U4 snRNA from yeast and human has been reported.
Source: RNAcentral